UCACCUCCGACAGGGGUGAGGCCAGAGGCGUGGGAAAGCCAGAUGGGGUGGCGGAUGCCACGGUGCCAUGGCCUCCUUCAACCCUCAGGUGUGCAAGGAGGCAGGUGACCUGGGAUGUUCUGCAAAACAGGUCCUCACUACCCAAGGCGUGGUCCUCAGACAUCACCCGGGAGCUGGUUAUAAAUGGAGAGUCUCAGGCCCCGCCCUGGAGGCCCUGGUUCAGAACCUGCGUUUCAGCAAGAGCUCGAGUGAUUCAGGCAGGUCACUGCACUGCUAGAUUGCUGGUGAGACAGCAGCCACUGCUCCCAGGCCCGACAACAGGGGCAGCACCAAAGCUGGUCAGUGUUUCCUCCUUACAGUGUGAGGCAAACCGCAAGUCAUCGGCAUCACAGCAAAACAAAAACACACACACAACAGAAGAAACCACGCUGGUGAGGUCAGCAGGGGACAGGGAGACCCUCCCUGCGGGAGCCGCUGCUAGAGGGAAAGGCAGCGUUGGAUCGGAUGCCGGCCCCAGCCUGGGAGACGUGCUUCCUCUGCAGCCUGUGAUCAGGAGCGAAGUGUAGAGACCAGAAUCGUUCAGAGGCAGGGCUGGUCCCUGUUGAUUUAUGACUCAGGCAAACAGUCCAUUCAUCCGUCAGCGGCUCCACUUCUAUCCUCAGCUUACUGGAGGCAGAAGAAUGUCCCCUGGAAGUGGUCUGAGCUGCUUCCUGUGGUGGCCCCAUUCCUCCGGGUGGGGGAUCCUAUUUUUAGAGGGCCACCAUUGCCAUGAAGGUCCAGCCGGCUCAUCGGCACCGUGCGGCAUGGUGGGACGCAGUACUGAAAUUCGAGGGGGAGCUAGGCAUUCAUAGCUGUUUCUUACAAACAAGAAAGGCACUGAUUCUGAGGCUCCAUUUCCUCCUCUGUAGGUGGAAGAUAGAGGAGGCUAUACAGGGAGGCUCAGCUGUGCCUGACACACAACAGAGAUUCUCCAGGAACAGGACAUGAAUGAAUACAAAAUCAAAUAGGUGAUUUCCCUCUUCCUCCAGCAGACAAACCCAGAAUAGCAAAGAUCACUUCCAUGCGCGUCCGUGUGAGGAGACCACACAACAGGCUUUGUGUGAGCAAUAAAGCUGUUUAUUUCA
This 1124-nucleotide long non-coding RNA is filed under the name Homo sapiens (human). RNAcentral describes it as "HSALNT0387647". Lineage: Eukaryota; Metazoa; Chordata; Mammalia; Primates; Hominidae. The record is from RNAcentral.